This 148-nucleotide non-coding RNA is filed under the name Pan troglodytes (chimpanzee). Lineage: Eukaryota; Metazoa; Chordata; Mammalia; Primates; Hominidae. The record is from Rfam by way of RNAcentral.
GCCAGGCACAGUGGUGUGCACCUGUAAUCCCAGCUACUUGGGAGGCUGAGGCAGAGGAAUUGCUCGAACCCAGGAGGUGGAGGUUGAAGUGAGCCGAGAUCGCACCACUGCACUCCAGCCUGGGUGACAGAGCGAGACUCUGUCUCAA